Molecule: long non-coding RNA, 541 nt
Filed under: Androctonus crassicauda
Lineage: Eukaryota; Metazoa; Arthropoda; Arachnida; Scorpiones; Buthidae
Source: RNAcentral
UAGAGCUGUUGUUUAUUUAGCCUUAGCUAGAUCAUUUUUAUGUUCUUGUAAACAUUGGGCUAGGGUUCUGUUAGUCAUUCCGAUAUACACCGCUUGUUUCUUUGUCUCCUGAUUAGUGUCUGGUAUCCUAUAAACUCCUUUUUUUUCAUGCUCUUCUAUCUGAUCUUUCUCAUUUCUAGGUCUGCUGAAGACUGUCGGGGCUCUACUAACGGCUGUUCCUUUCUCCAUCUUCUUAGCUAUUUUCUUAGCAAAGGUCAUCUUCUAAAAGAGGGUAUGGUACUGGUAUAUAGCCAGACCUUGCUGCCAACGGGUUCUCUUCCAUGUGUCACACUCUGUAGAUUUCUUUUCACUGAUUUAUGGAUGCAGUUUAAGAAUUUCUUCCCAUAGCCAUGCUUGUACCCUAUGUUGUAGAUGUAGUUGAUCUCCUGUUUUAGAUCCCUUUGAUCUGUGGUGUAUAUUUCUGCCCUUUUGAAAAAUGAUCUGAAUGCAGCUUUCUUAUGUUUUAUGGGGUCGUCUGACCGUCUGGGGGUUGGGAUAGGCC